Molecule: long non-coding RNA, 376 nt
Filed under: Sphaeramia orbicularis (orbiculate cardinalfish)
Lineage: Eukaryota; Metazoa; Chordata; Actinopteri; Kurtiformes; Apogonidae
Description: lncRNA (ENSSORG00005016374.1)
Source: RNAcentral
GUUGUUCUUGUUCUUAUGGAAGACGAUGAAAAACUUAAAGAAGAAAGAGACUUUGCCUUCAAGACUAGAGAGAAGACAUCCAAAAGUUCCGCUGCGUCCUCAGCCGACACCAUCAAGGAUCCCAACUAUAAGCCGUGCUAUGUUCCUGGAGCCACUGGACUUCCAUCCUUAGACAACAUACCGUCGGUAGCUGACCUGACUGCCUCCUUUACUGCCCGAAAGGAGGAGCGUCUGCGACAGGAAGCUGAGAAGAAGGAGAUUGAGAGGAGGGCCAAUCUGAGUGAAGACGAACUGAAAUGGGAGGAUGCAAGCAAAGGCGGCAACGUUCAAGACAAUGCCUGGGGAGGACAGAAAUCAGGGGAAGAGGAAGCAAAAC